This 402-nucleotide ribosomal RNA is filed under the name uncultured bacterium. Its description in RNAcentral is "bacterial SSU rRNA". It matches the Rfam family "Bacterial small subunit ribosomal RNA", at positions 355 to 774 of the family's 1533-position model. The record is from RNAcentral.
UGGGGAAUCUUGCACAAUGGGGGAAACCCUGAUGCAGCGACGCCGCGUGAACGAUGAAGCCCUUCGGGGUGUAAAGUUCUUUCGACCGGAACGAUAAUGACGGUACCGGGAGAAGAAGCUGCGGCUAACUACGUGCCAGCAGCCGCGGUAAUACGUAGGCAGCAAGCGUUGUUCGGAGUUACUGGGCGUAAAGAGUGCGUAGGCGGUUUUCUAAGUUCGGUGUGAAAUCUCCCGGCUUAACUGGGAGGGUGCGCCGAAGACUGGGAAGCUGGAGUGUGGGAAAGGCAGGCGGAAUUCCUGGUGUAGCGGUGAAAUGCGUAGAUAUCAGGAGGAACACCGGCGAUGUAGACGGCUUGCUAGACCAUAACUGACGCUGAGGCACGAAAGCGUGGGUAGCAAACA